GUGAGGAAUAUUGCGCAAUGGAGGCAACUCUGACGCAGCCAUGCCGCGUGCAGGAAGAAGGCGCUACGCGUUGUAAACUGCUUUUAACCGGGAAGAAACCCCAGGACGUGUCCUGGGUUGACGGUACCGGAGGAAUAAGCACCGGCUAACUUCGUGCCAGCAGCCGCGGUAAUACGAAGGGUGCAAGCGUUAUCCGGAUUCAUUGGGUUUAAAGGGUGCGUAGGCGGAGCGUUAAGUCAGUGGUGAAAUCCUGCAGCUUAACUGUAGACUUGCCAUUGAUACUUGCGCUCUUGAGUGCGCUUGAAGUGGGCGGAAUGUGCCGUGUAGCGGUGAAAUGCUUAGAUAUGGCACAGAACACCAAUUGCGAAGGCAGCUCACUAAGGCGAUACUGACGCUGAGGCACGAAAGCGUGGGGAUCGAACAGGAUUAGAAACCCUUGUAGUCC
This 445-nucleotide ribosomal RNA is filed under the name uncultured bacterium. Its description in RNAcentral is "partial 16S ribosomal RNA". It matches the Rfam family "Bacterial small subunit ribosomal RNA", at positions 354 to 796 of the family's 1533-position model. The record is from RNAcentral.